RNAcentral lists this transfer RNA (68 nucleotides) under Somatochlora hineana. RNAcentral describes it as "tRNA-Leu". The record is from RNAcentral. Lineage: Eukaryota; Metazoa; Arthropoda; Insecta; Odonata; Corduliidae.
UUUAAUGUGGCAGAAAAGUGCUAUGGGUUUAAGCUCCAUUUAUAAAGGUAUUUCACCUUUCAUUAAAA